UCAACACACAGAAGUACAUUAAUUCUACGUUGAUUUAAAAAAAAAGUGCUGGUAUCGGUAUCUGUAUCGACCGAUACUCAAUUUUUAGUAUCGGAUCGGUUCUAAAAAAAAAUUGUAUCAGUGCAUCCCAGUUGCAA
Long non-coding RNA from Sinocyclocheilus anshuiensis, 137 nucleotides. RefSeq lists it as uncharacterized. The transcript is spliced from 3 exons. NCBI's taxonomy places the organism in Eukaryota, Metazoa, Chordata, Actinopteri, Cypriniformes, Cyprinidae. The record is from RefSeq and is a predicted model, not a curated record.